CUUUUGGGAUGCAUUUUGUGCAGUCAUGUCAACAACUAAACUCAUCACUGGGCAAAGUGUGUCUCAAAAU
This 70-nucleotide microRNA precursor is filed under the name Drosophila busckii. RNAcentral's name for it is "mir-3 microRNA precursor family". It matches the Rfam family "mir-3 microRNA precursor family". The record is from Rfam by way of RNAcentral. Lineage: Eukaryota; Metazoa; Arthropoda; Insecta; Diptera; Drosophilidae.